UAAGUAGAAAAUAGCCACAGUCAUCUCUUAUUAGGUCUUUGAAUAAACAACGGCUGUUCCUUGAAUGCUUCAUUAUCAUGGAGGGUGUAGUCGCUACUUUUUCUUUUUUUCUAGGUGUUUGCAACUGCUAAGGAUGGCGUAGCUCUGGGCAGGCAGGUGGGACUCAUUGGGUUAUGGCCACUGAUCUUUGCUUCUGUGAUGGAGGGGCACGUGCCUCUGCUGCCCAGUCUGGACCAAUGCACUGAGCUCACAUCAGUGAGAAACUCCUGUGCUGCAGCACGAGAGGCUCGCCUGGAAUGCUGUGGCUUGGGAGGAGGAUGAGCUCAUGGCACAGAUGGGGAGGUGAGCACCAGACGGCACGUUGCAGCCAAACGGUGCAAGCAGAUGACAGAGGAAGAUUCUGCAUUUGGAGGAGCAGUCAUUUUCUGGUGACACUGGAACAUGCUUUUCUAAGUGUGGAAACUGUGGAGAGAGGACAAUAUGUCGAGGAAGUCAGAAUGGCCAAGACAAAACUGCAGAAAUUCCUACUGCUGAUAUCUCUACUUCGUGCCCAUUUACCAAACCCUUAUAUCCAUCAUAGUUCAGACAGCAUCAAGAAGUGGAAAAUAAUAAAGUCAGGCAUCAAGAUGUUGAAGCCAAAAGCAGCCAGCUGAGUCAAAUAAAGAAGGAUGGAAGGAGUGACUUAAAUAGUCGAAGAGCAUGAGGUAAGCUGAUAAAUUCUGGGGUAAAAUGGAGGAUAGGUGAUAUAUAGGGGUUAAAAGAAGAUAAUAAAAUUAAUGAUGAUCAGUAUAGUUUUUGAAAACUGUAUCGUGUCAAAAAUGAAUGUGCUUUUUGUAAGUUGUCACCUGUAAUGGUUUUGAUAUUUACUUAAAUAUACAUUUCUAUAUGAAUUUCUAUAAAGCAAGUAUUUUGUUCCAGAUAUUUGGCGUCACAACCAGGCAAGAAAUAGAGAAGAUGAAUUCAAGACAUUAAUUCAAUUGCAAUCUGGCAGAUAGUCAAAAAUGCUAAAGCGAUUGCAAAGGGGGAAUCAUUCAGAAAGGACACUUUUGACAGAUGCACCAAAAGUCUCAGUCCUUGGCUCUGAUCUGCUCAGUCCCUUGGUUUUUGGCUUGAGAACAAAUACUGUAUUUAAUUAGGCAAAGAUCGUGAUGAUACAACCAAUGAAGUAAUUUUAGGACAGCGUCAAGGACAAAACUGUUUUGUCUGGUAAGCUCAUCUCAUAGAAACAAUGUGUAUUUAAAUUGCCAGUCAAGUUCAAGGUACUUUCAGGCCAAAAUUGUGCUUUUAGUCAUGCUAUAUAGACAAUAUUUUGCUAACCAGUGACUUAGGCAGGCCGGUUGUUAUGAUGGGUAAUCAGCUAAACACACGCUCCCUUUGUGAUACAGUACACCUGAAAGCAAAUGCUACUGUCUUGCUGAGUAAAGGUCAAGGAGGUGGUAUUUCCAUGUGCACCACGUUAAUGAGACCAUUAUUGAAAUACCAAGUCUGCUUUUGGUGUUUACACAUUUUAAAGGGAUACUGACAGCCGGGCAGAGAACAGAGCAUGAGCAUAGGUUGAACCGUGCUGUCUAAAGAGAGGUGAAAAAGCUAAGUCUGUUUAGUUCGUGAAAGAUGAGGUUUGAUAUUCUUCCACCAGUACCAAAAAGCAAAGAGGUAUCUAAUAAUUAAUUAAUGGUUAGAUGCUGAGGGUGGACAGAUUCAGAUUAGAAAAUAGGCAACUAAAAAUGUCUUUUGUUUUCAGAGUCAGCAGCCAAUCACUUACUUUGGGAUGUUGGGUUUGUCUGUCAGGUUAAGUCUAUAAGCAGCAAGAAUGGAAUCUUUUUGAAAAAGAUAGGAUACUGGUAAGCAAAUUUGUGUGAGGUGCAUGUGUUACGAUUAAAUACCGUGGCUUAACAACUUCGAGUAAAGACAGUGAAUGUCUGGAAACAAUCCAAGUGUUACAGGCAGUAGCGCAGUUAAACUUGGUUUGAUCUGAGCACUGCAGGUAGAGAUGGCAGAGCAGGCAGCAAGAGUCAUCUUUCAGCUUGCAAACCGAAGGUGAAGCUCCUUGGAGAUGCUGCUGCUAAUUAGAGCAAGCUGCCUGGUAUACCAUGUUUAGCUCAGUCCUCUUGC
Meleagris gallopavo (turkey) is the source of this 2112-nucleotide non-coding RNA. Lineage: Eukaryota; Metazoa; Chordata; Aves; Galliformes; Phasianidae. The record is from RefSeq and is a predicted model, not a curated record.